AGUGAACGCUGGCGGUAGGCCUAACACAUGCAAGUCGAACGGCAGCACCGUAAGAGCUUGCUCUUACGGGUGGCGAGUGGCGGACGGUUGAAGAAUACCUCGGAACCUACUUUUUCGGGGGGCGUAACGUAGGGAUACUUACGCUAAUACUGCUUACGACCUACGGGUGAAAGCAGGGGACCUUCGGAUCUUGCGCGACAGAAUGAGGCGAUGUCGGAUUAGCUAGUUGGCGGGUCAAAGACCGACCAAGACGACGAUCCGUAGCCGGACUGAGAGAAUGUUCAGCACAACUGGAACUGAGAAAAGCUCCAGAGGUCUACGGGAGGACGCAGGAGGGAAUAUUGAGCAAUGGGCGCAAGCCUGAUCCAGCCAUACCGAGUGAGUGAAGAAGGACUUCGGGUAUUAAAGCCCUUUUGUUAGGAAAGAAAAACAGCAGGUUAAAAACCGGCUGUUCUGACGGUACCCAAUGAAUAAGCACCGGCUAACUUCGUG
This 492-nucleotide ribosomal RNA is filed under the name uncultured bacterium. Its description in RNAcentral is "partial 16S ribosomal RNA". It matches the Rfam family "Bacterial small subunit ribosomal RNA", at positions 29 to 507 of the family's 1533-position model. The record is from RNAcentral.